RNAcentral lists this ribosomal RNA (513 nucleotides) under uncultured bacterium. RNAcentral describes it as "partial 16S ribosomal RNA". It matches the Rfam family "Bacterial small subunit ribosomal RNA", at positions 28 to 507 of the family's 1533-position model. The record is from RNAcentral.
GACGAACGCUGGCGGCGUGCUUAACACAUGCAAGUCGAACGAGAGCGUAGAGAAAGCUUGCUUUUUCUACAAUCUAGUGGCAAACGGGUGAGUAACGCGUAAACAACCUGCCCUACGGAUGGGGACAACAGCUGGAAACGGCUGCUAAUACCGAAUACGUUCCGAAAGUCGCGUGACUAUCGGAAGAAAGGAUGGCCUCUAUUUAUAAGCUAUCGCCGGCGGAGGGGUUUGCGUCUGAUUAGCUAGUUGGAGGGGUAACGGCCCACCAAGGCGACGAUCAGUUGGCGGACUGAGAGGAUGAGCAGCCGCAUUGGAACGGGGACGCGGUCCAGACUCGUAAGGGAGGCAGCAGUGGGGAAUCUUCCGCAAUGAGCGAAAGCGUGACGGAGCAAAGCCGCGUGAGUGAAGACGGGCUUCGGGUUGUAAAGGUCGGUUAUACGGGACGAAUAAUCUUGUGGUUAAGACCCAUGAGAAGUGACGGUACCGGAAGAGAAAGCAACGGCUAACUACGUG